CGCGCUCUGUGCGCACCGCCCCAGCCCGGGGAGGAGCGGGAGCCGGGAGGGAGGAGGGCUCGGGGUGCUGGUUACGUAAAUUAUACUAGCCCAGUGAGAGGCCUCCAGGCUGGGGCUACGGGAGGAGGAGGAGGGCCCGCGCAAGGAGGAGGGGCUGAGAGGGAGCGGGCCGGGGUGGGAGGGGGGCGGGGGCCGGGGGCGAAGUGACCAGGCGGUGGCAGCGGCUCUGCCGAGGUGACAAUGUGUUAGGAGACCUCGCUCGGUCUCCUGCGCCUCCUCGGCCUCGGCGCCCGCUCGCGAGGAGCCCUCCAGCCCGCCGCUGCGCUAUGAGGGCGCCUCUCCGGGGCUGGCCGAGGCCGGAGCCGGCUCGCUCUUCUCCCGGGGAAGUGUGAGCAGAGAGGCGCGGGCGGGAAGCGGGGCUGCGCGCGGCGCUCGCGGGCCGGCGCGUGUUCCAGGUGAGCACGGGAUCGGUGCGCCCCACACUCCUCGCAGGCGGCCGGCACCUGCCGGGCUGGGUCGGAGGCUGAAUUCCGUGCGUGGACCGCCGUUCCUUCUUCGCGGGAUCCCUGGCCACGACAGCAGAUGCAUUUUGUAGGAGUAUUCUGAGGAUGAAUGUUUGCAAAUCAUUCUGAAAUUGCCAAGUGCCACAUACAGUAAGUAAUAUGUAUUUUUAUUUUUCCACUCAAUUGCAGUCAUGCUGAAUAAAUUUGGCACACAGCCAUAAAAGAAUACAUUCCUAUUUACAGUUCUUGAUAUUUGUGAAUACUGAGGAAAAAUGUAUGUAAAAGAGAAAAAUUUGAGCUCUUUGCUAGUCUCAAUUAAGUUGC
RNAcentral lists this long non-coding RNA (827 nucleotides) under Capra hircus (goat). RNAcentral describes it as "lncRNA (ENSCHIG00000000684.1)". Lineage: Eukaryota; Metazoa; Chordata; Mammalia; Artiodactyla; Bovidae. The record is from RNAcentral.